UGGCAUAGUGGUUAAGUGCUAUGGCUGCUAACCAAACGGUUGGCAGUUCGAAUCUGCC
Loxodonta africana (African savanna elephant) is the source of this 58-nucleotide non-coding RNA. Lineage: Eukaryota; Metazoa; Chordata; Mammalia; Proboscidea; Elephantidae. The record is from Rfam.